This 74-nucleotide transfer RNA is filed under the name Alosa alosa (allis shad). RNAcentral describes it as "tRNA-OTHER". The record is from RNAcentral. Lineage: Eukaryota; Metazoa; Chordata; Actinopteri; Clupeiformes; Clupeidae.
GCUGUCGUGGCCAACUGGUUAGGGCUUCAGACUUGGAACCAGAGGGUUGCUAGUUCGAGCCCCGACCAGUAGGA